Camellia sinensis is the source of this 557-nucleotide long non-coding RNA. RefSeq lists it as uncharacterized. NCBI's taxonomy places the organism in Eukaryota, Viridiplantae, Streptophyta, Magnoliopsida, Ericales, Theaceae. The record is from RefSeq and is a predicted model, not a curated record.
UUUUUACAUCUCUCUCUCUCUCUCUCUCUCUCUCUCUCUCUCUCUCUAAAAAUAUCAUUUUCUCUCCCUUCUCUCUAAAAACCUCCACCAAACACCAAAAACUCUUGAUCUUUUCCAAUCCAUUGGAAUUUUGAUCCUUAUUCCUUCACCAAAGUUGGAUAACUUCUCGAGGGCUACGUUUUGGGCGGUGGAGAUCAAGCUUUAACACCACUGAAUUUGAGGGUUUCAUCUCAUUCUCCUUCAAAUUUGAGGAAAAGGCGUGGCGAAUCCGCCAAACUAGGGCAUGGAUGUAUGUGUUGAGAGUACAAGGCUCUAUUUUUGUUGUGACUGUAUUUUUUGUAAGCCAAAGGCUAUAAUUGUAUAGGUUUGAGAAAUCAUGUUUUGUGUAACCAGACUUAAGCCUUGGAACUUGUAAGUCCGUGAGGGCAUUUAUUUAUUUUUGACUAAAUAUUCUACAUGAUAUAGAUUCAUGUGCUAGAUUUCAUUAAAUGUAUAUCCGCAUGUAGAACUAUUUUGUUCAAACCUCAUGAUCGUUUAAUGCAAGCAUUGGAGAUUUA